AAAAUACGACUCUCGGCAACGGAUAUCUCGGCUCUCGCAUCGAUGAAGAACGUAGCGAAAUGCGAUACUUGGUGUGAAUUGCAGAAUCCCGUGAACCAUCGAGUCUUUGAACGCAAGUUGCGCCCGAAGCUGUCAGGCCGAGGGCACGUCUGCCUGGGCGUCACG
RNAcentral lists this ribosomal RNA (165 nucleotides) under Ipomoea carnea. Its description in RNAcentral is "5.8S ribosomal RNA". It matches the Rfam family "5.8S ribosomal RNA". Rfam says of the family: 5.8S ribosomal RNA (5.8S rRNA) is a component of the large subunit of the eukaryotic ribosome. The record is from RNAcentral. Lineage: Eukaryota; Viridiplantae; Streptophyta; Magnoliopsida; Solanales; Convolvulaceae.